GAUGAACGCUGGCGGCGUGCUUAACACAUGCAAGUCGAGCGGACGGACGCGGAGCUUGUUUCUCUGUGGUUAGGGGCGGCGGGGUGAGUAACACGAGGAUAAUCUCCUUACCUGUCUGUGAUAAUUUCGUGAAACCGUAGCUAAUACUGGAUAAUAUUCUGAACCGUAUGGUUCACAGGUGAAAGACGGCUUUGCUGUCACUUAUAGCUGGGUCGGCGCUGGAUUAGCUAGUUGGUAAGGUAGCGGCUUACCAAGGCACGGAGGCACAGACGACCUGAGAGGGGGGUCGGCGACACUAGAGCGGAGACACGGACCAGACUACUACGGGAGGCAGCAGUCGGGAAUCUGCCGCAAUGGGCGAGAGCCUGACGGAGCAACGCCGCGUGAGUGAUGAAGGUCUUCGGAUCGUAAAACACUGUUAUUAGGGAAGAACAUAUGUGUAAGUAAAUGUGCACAGCUUGACGGUACCUAAUCAGAAAGCCACGGCUAACUACGUG
This 497-nucleotide ribosomal RNA is filed under the name uncultured bacterium. RNAcentral's name for it is "partial 16S ribosomal RNA". It matches the Rfam family "Bacterial small subunit ribosomal RNA", at positions 28 to 507 of the family's 1533-position model. The record is from RNAcentral.